Molecule: long non-coding RNA, 664 nt
Organism: Camelina sativa (false flax)
Lineage: Eukaryota; Viridiplantae; Streptophyta; Magnoliopsida; Brassicales; Brassicaceae
Source: RefSeq, a predicted model, not a curated record
UCUCUCCUCUUCCUCCACGAUAUAUACUGAUGAGAGACAACAAAGUCUCACCAACUCUUUCUUAGUCUUCCAAAAAUUUCACAACGAGAACAGAGAAAAAGAAGGAGAAGAGAUCUACAGAAAACGAAGGAAACAACUGUUGGGAAAAAGGUUCAUAUUCCAUUCUAAAGUCAUGUCGCUCGAUUAUUACAUUUGUCUCUUGCACAGUUCAAUUGGUGAAAGUUUCUUCAUGUCAAAUUAAAAGUAGUCAUUUACAGAGAUAGCAAAUAAAGAUGUCAAAUGAAGUCAGUGUGUCUCUUACUAUUUGCAUUUUUCUUAAUUUACGCUUUACACGUCAUUACUAUGGAGAUGACUCUUCUUAAAGACCAUUCACUCUUAACACAACAACUAGAUAUGAUAUGCAGAUCCUUUGUUACAGCACAAAACAUCUUCGUAGAAAAUUGAGGGUUAUAUAUAAAGGAAGGACUAAUUAAAGAUUAUUCACACAUGAUAAAAAGGGCUGAAGAGAUGAUAAGAAACAGUCAGAGUUUGCUUUGAUUUUUUACCUUCCCAAGCAAGAACGACAAGAUUGUUUUGGUAUAAUAUGAUUAUGAACUUUUGUGGUACUUUGAUAUGUAUACUUUGGAAAAUUAAUCAAAUAAAGUUACAACGCUAUUUUGAAUAA